AGCAGUAGCCGCGGUAAUACGUAGGUGGCAAGCGUUGUCCGGAAUUAUUGGGCGUAAAGCGCGCGCAGGCGGAUCAGUUAGUCUGUCUUAAAAGUUCGGGGCUUAACCCCGUGAUGGGAUGGAAACUGCUGAUCUAGAGUAUCGGAGAGGAAAGUGGAAUUCCUAGUGUAGCGGUGAAAUGCGCAGAUAUUAGGAAGAACACCAGUGGCGAAGGCGACUUUCUGGACGAAAACUGACGCUGAGGCGCGAAAGCCAGGGGAGCGAACGGGAUUAGAUACCCCAGUAGUCCCUGUCUCUUAUACA
This 303-nucleotide ribosomal RNA is filed under the name uncultured bacterium. RNAcentral describes it as "partial 16S ribosomal RNA". It matches the Rfam family "Bacterial small subunit ribosomal RNA", at positions 507 to 809 of the family's 1533-position model. The record is from RNAcentral.